GGUUAAGCGACUAAGCGUACACGGUGGAUGCCCUGGCAGUCAGAGGCGAUGAAGGACGUGCUAAUCUGCGAUAAGCGCCGGUAAGGUGAUAUGAACCGUUAUAACCGGCGAUUUCCGAAUGGGGAAACCCAGUGUGAUUCGUCACACUAUCAUUAACUGAAUCCAUAGGUUAAUGAGGCGAACCGGGGGAACUGAAACAUCUAAGUACCCCGAGGAAAAGAAAUCAACCGAGAUUCCCCCAGUAGCGGCGAGCGAACGGGGAGGAGCCCAGAGCCUGAAUCAGCAUGUGUGUUAGUGGAAGCGUCUGGAAAGGCGCGCGAUACAGGGUGACAGCCCCGUACACAAAAGCGCAUGUGCUGUGAGCUCGAUGAGUAGGGCGGGACACGUGGUAUCCUGUCUGAAUAUGGGGGGACCAUCCUCCAAGGCUAAAUACUCCUGACUGACCGAUAGUGAACCAGUACCGUGAGGGAAAGGCGAAAAGAACCCCGGCGAGGGGAGUGAAAAAGAACCUGAAACCGUGUACGUACAAGCAGUGGGAGCACAGGUUUACCUGUGUGACUGCGUACCUUUUGUAUAAUGGGUCAGCGACUUAUAUUCUGUAGCAAGGUUAACCGAAUAGGGGAGCCGGAGGGAAACCGAGUCUUAAUUGGGCGUUAAGUUGCAGGGUAUAGACCCGAAACCCGGUGAUCUAGCCAUGGGCAGGUUGAAGGUUGGGUAACACUAACUGGAGGACCGAACCGACUAAUGUUGAAAAAUUAGCGGAUGACCUGUGGCU
RNAcentral lists this ribosomal RNA (775 nucleotides) under Salmonella enterica subsp. enterica serovar Infantis. Its description in RNAcentral is "partial 23S ribosomal RNA". It matches the Rfam family "Bacterial large subunit ribosomal RNA", at positions 1 to 816 of the family's 2925-position model. The record is from RNAcentral. RNAcentral also lists the same sequence under 4 other names. Lineage: Bacteria; Pseudomonadati; Pseudomonadota; Gammaproteobacteria; Enterobacterales; Enterobacteriaceae.